GGCCUGAGAGGGUGAUCCCCCACACUGGUACUGAGACACGGACCAGACUCCUACGGGAGGCAGCAGUGAGGAAUAUUGGACAAUGGGUGCAAGCCUGAUCCAGCCAUCCCGCGUGUAGGAAGACGGCCCUAUGGGUUGUAAACUACUUUUAUCUGGGGAUAAACCUACUUACGUGUAAGUAGCUGAAGGUACCAGAUGAAUAAGCACCGGCUAACUCCGUGCCAGCAGCCGCGGUAAUACGGAGGGUGCAAGCGUUAUCCGGAUUUAUUGGGUUUAAAGGGUCCGUAGGCGGGCUGAUAAGUCAGUGGUGAAAUCCGACAGCUUAACUGUCGAACUGCCAUUGAUACUGUCAGC
RNAcentral lists this ribosomal RNA (354 nucleotides) under bacterium LimB-1-A-251. RNAcentral's name for it is "bacterial SSU rRNA". It matches the Rfam family "Bacterial small subunit ribosomal RNA", at positions 289 to 640 of the family's 1533-position model. The record is from RNAcentral.